RNAcentral lists this ribosomal RNA (272 nucleotides) under uncultured bacterium. Its description in RNAcentral is "partial 16S ribosomal RNA". It matches the Rfam family "Bacterial small subunit ribosomal RNA", at positions 524 to 794 of the family's 1533-position model. The record is from RNAcentral.
UACAGAGGUCCCCGAGCGUUGUUCGGAUUCACUGGGCGUAAGGGGUGCGUAGGUGGUAGGGUAAGUUCGAUGUGAAAUCUCCGGGCUCAACCCGGAAAAUGCAUUGAAUACUAUCUUGCUAGAGAGUUGUAGGGGGGACUGGAAUUCUCGGUGUAGCAGUGAAAUGCGUAGAUAUCGAGAGGAACACCAGUGGCGAAGGCGAGUCCCUGGACAACUUCUGACACUGAGGCACGAAAGCUAGGGGAGCAAACAGGAUUAGAAACCCGUGUAGU